Molecule: long non-coding RNA, 6057 nt
Filed under: Homo sapiens (human)
Lineage: Eukaryota; Metazoa; Chordata; Mammalia; Primates; Hominidae
Description: HSALNT0138907
Source: RNAcentral
CACAGACCAAUGCGUUUAUAAUCCAUUUAAAAUAAUAUACUUGCCACUAGGUGGCUAUUUCUGAUCAGAUCAUUUUACCAUUUUAAUUACAUUUUUAAUAUCCUGGCUGCAUAAACAAAGAUAAAUUACAAACCCUGCACAAUCUGGCUGCUAGCUCAGGCAUAGUCAGUAAUAAUAUCAGCUUUUGUUUGGGCCUCCUCUAAUUAGAUUCUGAAAUCUAGGCUUUGUCAAUCAAUAAUUUUAAUUUUAGAAUCGCUUUUUGAUCUUGCAUUUCAUGUUUGUUUGGGAAAAUGAUCAGUAGGACAAAGCUGAUAAUUUAUGCAGAAACAAUCUCUCAGCAGAGCUACAUGCACAUUCCUCCCCAUCAACAGAAGCCUGCAGACUAAGCUUGACACAGGUCUAAUUAGCAUGCAGAUAUGUCGCCUCAUUGGCAAUUCAAAUUGCUUUUAUAUAAUGUACCUCAAAUUGUGCUACUCAAACAUUGUAUUUGAUUUCCAAAGCCCCCUGGGCAUCCCAUAAUGUCUCCCUUCAUCCUGGGUAUGAAGCAUUUAUUGAACAAUCUGCUGAGACUGGCUGUCUUUUCGAAAACACCCAAACAUCGUAUUCCUGGGACCAGCUUUUCUUCUUGUCAGAGAGCAACUUGUUCUUCUGCGGAAUUCCUUGUGCCACAUUUGUAGGUUUAGAGAUGACAUGCUACCUCAUGAGUUGCUUCUCCCACGUGGUUGAUCUAUAGAGGGCUUCACUCCUGUGCCACUCAUUUUUAAAGUGGGGGAGAAUGUCUGGUAAGCACACAUUAAUAUGCAGCACAUAACCACAUCUCUGAAUGCCAGUCCUCCAUUCUUCAUUAAACAAAAAUGGCUAGAUUGCAGGGAUUGUUUUUCCUUCCUCCCACAUACAUAUGCACACACACUCACAUUUGCUUUCUUGGGCACACCUACAUGCACGCAACCACAUUCACGCGCAUCUACACACCUAUGCAAGACACCCACAGCAUAUCAUUGUCAGGAUGGAGUUACGUGUGAAAGUUGUCUGCUGCACACAUGACAAAUAAGGGGAUUCCAGCAUACACUGGGGCUUUUUAAAAAUUCAUUUUUUUAACCAUGCAGCAACAAGUGGCAGAAUCAAUGGUGUACAGUUAUUCAGCAAUGUAAUUCAUUUCACUGGCUUUGGCUCCUAGCCAGAUCCGCCAUCUGUCUCUAGCUCUCCCUCUCCCCCUCUCUCUCCCUCUCCCUCUCUUUCGCUUGAAUUUGUCCUACAUUUCGUAAUGUUACGUGCCUGCCAUCCUUAUCCUAUGCCAGAGGUACAACACCAGUCUCACCCCCAUUCCGGCGUGGAGUUCUCUGAGUUCGGUGGCACUUGGGAUAUUCCACUUCAGUGCCAUGGGAAGAAAAUGACGCUGGCUGGCACUCCACGCCAGUGCACGGCUCCAUGGAAUGCCUGCUGUUGGACACUUGCAGAGCUCUGCCACCAAGCAACCUCCUGCAUUGGAAAUCGGGGGACUACUCCAGGAUCUUAUGCGUGCUUGCUGUUUGAAGCUGCAGAAAAGUGAAUAAUCAAUUAAGUAUUGAUUUCUUGUAAGAUUUGGUAAAUUUCAAAGGCAAGACAAAGAGGAUGGCUUAAGGAAACACUGCAGGGACUUGGCGUAAAUUAGACAACUAACGGAAGCGCAGAAUAAAAUAACACCUCAACUGAAGAUUUCCUUGGAAGAAUUAGCACUAGCUAUUGGAAGACAAUGGUGGAUUUAAUCAAAACAGCAGGCAUGCAAGAAUUUUACCCGUGAACCAGAAAAAGGAGCUAAUUAUAACCACCUUUUUAAUGGAGCUAAUUUGACUGAAUGGAUGCAAAUGUGCUUUAUUUAUGGAUGAAGAAGCAAGCCUUACUGCAUGAUCUUGGGAUCAUCGGAUCUGCUAAGCUUUGCAGCUCCUGUUACCUUCAGUACAUUUUUUAUUUCCGGAGAAGGUAUUUGUAUGUAAACAACAACUAACCAUGCAAAAGAUUCAUCGGAACAAUAUACUGUGGUAUAUGAGAUAUAAUCAUAAUUUUGCAGCCUCUCAGGAUUUCCUCUAACUUGGAGGUUUUGCAACCUUUGUGUGCAAUGGGUUAUGGUAAACAAUAAAUGAAUGAUGCUAAAGUGUUGUGAUUUUUCAAUGUGUAGUUUGUUAAUUUUAGCUUUCUUAACAUAUUGAUUCUGAAGUAUUUGCAAUAAAUCCAUAUGAAAGAAAGGGAAUUGUUGGGUGGGGUUUUUUUUUUAAUGCAUUUUCAGUCUUCUUAGAGAUCGGAAUGUGUAGGUCCCACCAGCCCAUGAGCUCUAUAAUUAUAAAAGAAUGGUAAAAAAUUUGACAAUUUGAAGUACUGGUUUUAUAAUGGGAACAAUGUGUUAUAAUCAGCAAAAGGAGACUUGUUAUGUUUUCUCUCUGUGUAGAAUGUUCUUGAGUGGUUAACUCCUCUGUUGCUGAUGAGAAGUAAAUACCAGGACUGGCAAUAAGCAGAGAUUGUAAGGACAAUGCUUUGUUCCUAUGCAUCCUCCUAUUUCAAGCUAAAGUGCAUUUUAAGCAUUUCCUUCUAUUUCUAUUAUUUUCCUUUCUAUUUUUGUUCUUUUCAUCAUUUUUUUCUGUCUUGCAAUCUACGUUCCCUGAGCAACCAUAGGAACCAAGUUACAUUAAGCUUCAACACAAAGACCUUGUAAGAAUAAUGAAUCCUCAUUUGCAUCGACAUUUGUAUUCAGAUUUGCCAGGCUAUAAACUUGGCAGAUCAAGCGGAAUAUUAAGUAGAGGCUUCCAUGGUAAAUUGUGGCUCUUGAAAUUGCUAACUACCCCCUCCCCUUUUUUUUCUCUCUAUCUGUGGUGGCAGGUGAAGUCUCAUGACUACUUGCUUCUUAAGAAGCGUAUUGGCUCCUUCAUCUUUCAUUAUAUGAUGCCAGUUUCAAGCAGAAGAGGGGCAAAGCCGGUAGUAGGUGUGCUAGUUGAAGGUACAAAAUGACAUGUGACUGUAGCAUUAAUUCUAGAGUCCAUAUAUCACAAGAGGUGUCUUUAAGUAGUUGAAGCUGUAAGAAAAUUAAUUCUCAUGUGUGGGCUAAGGUUUGAUCUUUCUGGUAUGUUCAAAACGCAUUAACCUCAUGAAAGUUCACACUCAUUUUUUAAAGCUUCUAAAGGUUGGAGGAGGACCAAGGUAGCUCUUUACUCACAAAAUAAUUCAGUUACACCAUUCUGAGUCAUCGUCACUGAUCUACUCAUGCCCAUUCUUGAAAUAUUUUAAAUGCCUCAUUCUAUUAAGCCUCCAUGGAUUGACUGACUUAAUCCUUAGUUUUGCUUGAUUCUGAAAUGGUAAAAUAGGAACAGUUAUACUUACUGCUAGCAAACUUAUAAAUUCAGCAGUAUGACCUAUAAGGUCAUUUCUACAACACAGCCAACAAUGGGGUGAAAAAUGUAGACUUUAAUUUCCAUGCUUGGUCCACCCUAUGUGAUGCCAAACAAGUGAGUAAUUGGAAACAUUUGUGCAUAACUUAAUUUUUCAUGCAUUACCCCAGUGUUUCAGAUUUCUGUAAACAGAGCCUAAAUCUAUGACCUAUUAACAAACUCUCACUUCUUGCCAUCCCUUUUUCUCUCUAGAACUUUUCACUAGUGGGGAGCAACAAAACAUAUUAGAACUAACAAACUUACAAUGGACAUUUAAUAGUGGUUUUCCUUUCUAUUCUAUUUUUUAAAAUGUAAAUGGAGUAAAUGAUAAAAUGUAGACUGAAUUUAUCAUAAAGACAUUUUCUUUUGGUAUACUGCAAGGAACUAUGAACUUUUAGUAACUACUAUAAGCAACUGACAGUUCCAUCAAAGGAGGGAUCUUCCUACUGACCAGAAGACCUGAACAGCCUGAGAAUGAUUCCUUUCAACUCCGAGAGAAGAAGCUGCAGAUGAAGAGCAAGUAGGAUGGUGAAGUGCUUAAUCAGUGGCCAGGCAAUCAAUAAACACAACAGUCCUGGGAUACAUGUGCAGAAUGUGCAGAAUGUGUACAUAGGUACACACUACCAUGGUGGUUUGCUGCACCCAUCAACUCGUCAUCUACAUUAGGAUACUGUUUACUGAAAACCCACCAAUCUGAUCUUUUAUGAGAAGCUAGUCCCUGAAAAGGCCCUUGGAUCAAAGGUCAAAAACUUGAAGCACAGAGUGGGAUGUCAGAUGCCAAGAUUUAAAUCUAGUCAUUUGAUUCCAGAGCCCACAUUCUUAAAUAAUAUGCUACACUGACCUUUAUUGUCUUUAAACAUUAUCUUUAUUUAAUGUGUUUCAUAGAAAUUACUUCUCAGGUAUUCCUAAAUUUAUUUUUAAAAAUAAUGUCAUGCUAUCACUAUAAUAUAGUUUUUUAAAUUAACUUGAGAGGUAAUGUAGUAUGAUCAACUUCCUUAAUGGCCUUUUAAACUGGAAAUAACUAUUAAAUAUUUUAAUAUUAUAAAUUAACAGGCAAAAUGGUGAAAAAUCUAACAUCUGGUUCUUAAAAGUAAGUUGAAAUAUAAGAUCAGAUUUGAAUGCACAUGGAAAAAUAGAACUGGCAAAUAAUGCCAUAUUUGAAGAUCUUUUAGUAUUCUCUGGUAUUUUUCCUUUCAUUUCAAAAUUGUUAUAUUCUUUUUAAUGACUUCAAAUGAAUUAGGAAAUGUCAGGCUUCUAAAAAUCAAACAGAACGUCCAACCAGUAGAUUUCAUUCAGGGCAGUGGGAGCCUGUUCGGUUGUUUCCUCUUUCCCCCUCACUUUUAAAAAUCCUCAAUCACUGCCAUUUCUCUUCUCAGCUUUCACAACACUUUACAGGCAGCUGAAUGAAAGGGCAGAAGCUUCCUCUGAAACUCCUGUUAUUUCAGCUCUAAAAUCAGCUGAAAAGGAUGCCCUCCCCAGAGACAGAAAUGCAUUCCCUCCAUCAUGAACCUGCAAUGCCCUCAGGUUGUGGCAAGGGAGAAGUUUAGCACUUGAACCUAGAUAACGCUAUUUUUUUAAUCAAAGUGCACCAUUCUUGUUUCAUAUGGCCUGUGGCACAAUUUAUUUAAAACAAUAUGGUGCAUCAAAGAAGGUAAACAAUAAUAACAAUAAUAAUAAUAUAGGAAUAGCAAUGUGCACAUAAAUAAUAUAGGAAAACACAUGGCCUCAGUACCUUCAUGAAAUGGGACUUCAAUAUACAUAUUUCUUAUACAGCUUUAUGCAUGACUUCAUUGCACUUCACUGCUCUGUUGUGUCACUCUACCAAUAAACCUAUACAUCAUACUGAGUGAAGUAUGUUCACAGUCCCUUUACUUGACAAAAAAAAAAAAAAAAAAAAAAAAAAGGAGCAGUGUGGUUUAGGAGAAUGACCACUGAGCUAGAAGUAUGAAGACUAGAUAGAACUUGAGUCCCAUCCCCAGCACUUUCGGGCUCCCAGAUGUUGGGUGAGUUGUGCAUCCUCUUUAAAAAUCAGUUUGCAGACCAAUGGUACAUCUCUGUCCACCUGCUAGAGUUCUUGUGGUAACUAAAUAAGGUAAUGUAUAAGAAAGCAUUCUGAGAAAAUGCUACAUGUAAAAGGGGAUUUUUUUUUUCUCAUUGUGAUUUUUUUACUAUGUUUUUACUUUACAAAUUUACAAAUGUUUACUUUUCUUGAAUUUGCUUACCAGUAAAUUAGUUCACUGCUGGCACUUCUUUGUAGUCUAUUGCUAUGGGAAGUAAUAUGUUUAUCUGAAAAUUAUGAAGAUUCCUAGAGUUUCUUUACACUUGUUAUAUUUUAGGGGCAAUAAAAAAAGUAUAUGCUUAAACUUGAAUUAUGUCUUAUUUUUCUUUAGUGCAUUAUAAUUUCACAUCUAAAUACUGGUAUGUUUGUACCAAAUUAGCAAAGCAAAAAUGCAAAAUGUUAUUAAUUGACAUUGGUCGUUUUUUUAUUUAUACCACAUCCCCAUAUCCUAUUUAUUUGACUAUAGAUGUCCAUCUAAUUUAGAAAAUCAUUAUCUAACCUGUUUCAUUUUACCAAAUUGUCUUUUUUAAUAAUUUAGGUUUUGAGUAUUUUCUCCUAAGCUUUUGAAUCCAUGCUUACACAAUUGCAUUGAUAUUAUUUGAG